RNAcentral lists this ribosomal RNA (835 nucleotides) under Paramysis ullskyi. RNAcentral describes it as "SSU rRNA". It matches the Rfam family "Eukaryotic small subunit ribosomal RNA", at positions 963 to 1817 of the family's 1831-position model. Lineage: Eukaryota; Metazoa; Arthropoda; Malacostraca; Mysida; Mysidae. The record is from RNAcentral.
AACGUACUCAUUAAUCAAGAACGAAAGUUAGAGGUUCGAAGGCGAUCAGAUACCGCCCUAGUUCUAACCAUAAACUAUGCUGACCAGCGAUCCGUCUAUGUCAAUCUCAUGACUAGACGGGAAGCUUCCGGGAAACCAAAGUCUUUGAGUUCCAGGGGAAGUAUGGUUGCAAAGCUGAAACUUAAAGGAAUUGACGGAAGGGCACCACCAGGAGUGGAGCCUGCGGCUUAAUUUGACUCAACACGGGGAACCUUACUAGGCCCAGACACUGGAAGGAUUGACAGAUUAAGAGCUCUUUCUUAAUUCGGUGGGUGGUGGUGCAUGGCCGUUGUUAGUUGGUGGAGAGAUUUGUCUGGUUAAUUCCGAUAACGAACGAGACUCUUGCCUAUUAAAUAGUUGGUGGAUUAAAAUUUCAUGUCCUCAUUAGCUUCUUAGAGGUACAAGCGGUAUAUAGCCGCACGAGAAAGAGCAAUAACAGGUCUGUGAUGCCCUCAGAUGUUCUGGGCCGCACGCGCGCUACACUGAAGGGUUCAGCGUGUUUUCCUUCUCCGAGAGGAGAGGGUAACCAGUUGAAACCCCUUCGUGGUUUGGGAUAGGGGAAUCUCAUCCCCUUAAACGAGGAAUUCCUAGUAAGCGCAAGUCAUCAGCUUGCGUUGAUUAAGUCCCUGCCCUUUGUACACACCGCCCGUCGCUACUACUGAUUGAAUGACUUAGUGAGGCCUUCGGACUGUCGCUCUUGCGGUCUUAGGACUGCAUUGGGCCUGACGGAAAGAUGUCCAAACUUGAUCAUUUAGAGGAAGUAAAAGUCGUAACAAGGUUUCCGUAGGUGAACUGG